Molecule: ribosomal RNA, 590 nt
Filed under: Oerskovia sp. CATR-180
Lineage: Bacteria; Bacillati; Actinomycetota; Actinomycetes; Micrococcales; Cellulomonadaceae
Description: bacterial SSU rRNA
Rfam family: Bacterial small subunit ribosomal RNA
Source: RNAcentral
GCGACGACGGGUAGCCGGCCUGAGAGGGCGACCGGCCACACUGGGACUGAGACACGGCCCAGACUCCUACGGGAGGCAGCAGUGGGGAAUAUUGCACAAUGGGCGAAAGCCUGAUGCAGCGACGCCGCGUGAGGGAUGAAGGCCUUCGGGUUGUAAACCUCUUUCAGCAGGGAAGAAGCGCAAGUGACGGUACCUGCAGAAGAAGCGCCGGCUAACUACGUGCCAGCAGCCGCGGUAAUACGUAGGGCGCAAGCGUUGUCCGGAAUUAUUGGGCGUAAAGAGCUCGUAGGCGGUUUGUCGCGUCUGGUGUGAAAACUCAAGGCUCAACCUUGAGCUUGCAUCGGGUACGGGCAGACUAGAGUGCGGUAGGGGUGACUGGAAUUCCUGGUGUAGCGGUGGAAUGCGCAGAUAUCAGGAGGAACACCGAUGGCGAAGGCAGGUCACUGGGCCGCAACUGACGCUGAGGAGCGAAAGCAUGGGGAGCGAACAGGAUUAGAUACCCUGGUAGUCCAUGCCGUAAACGUUGGGCACUAGGUGUGGGGCUCAUUCCACGAGUUCCGUGCCGCAGCAAACGCAUUAAGUGCCCCGCG